RNAcentral lists this ribosomal RNA (293 nucleotides) under uncultured bacterium. RNAcentral describes it as "partial 16S ribosomal RNA". It matches the Rfam family "Archaeal small subunit ribosomal RNA", at positions 455 to 747 of the family's 1478-position model. The record is from RNAcentral.
GUGCCGGCAGCCGCGGUAAUACCGGCAGCCCGAGUGAUGACCGAUCUUAUUGGGCCUAAAGCGUCCGUAGCUGGCUACGCAAGUCCGUCGGGAAAUCCACUCGCCCAACGAGUGGGCGUCCGACGGAAACUGCAUAGCUUGGGACCGGAAGGCUCGAAGGGUACGUUCGGGGUAGGAGUGAAAUCCCAUAAUCCCGCACGGACCACCGAUGGCGAAAGCAUCUCGAGAAAACGGAUCCGACAGUGAGGGACGAAAGCUAGGGUCUCGAACCGGAUUAGAAACCCGUGUAGUCC